GCAACUCUGGGGUGUUUGCCAGCGCGUCUAUAUCCCUGCCGAUACUUAAACUUACGGAUGUGUUCUGUAUAUUUAGAGCGUAUGCCCAUCUUCGUGUGGGAAACCCAGCAAGUAUACGUCGCGUCCCCCUUGAACUUCUUCGGGUUCAGGGUAACGACAUGCAGCGGCAUCUCCGGAGUGCU
Molecule: non-coding RNA, 182 nt
Filed under: Acinetobacter chinensis
Lineage: Bacteria; Pseudomonadati; Pseudomonadota; Gammaproteobacteria; Moraxellales; Moraxellaceae
Description: 6S RNA
Rfam family: 6S / SsrS RNA
About the family: E. coli 6S RNA was the first non coding RNA to be sequenced, but its function was unknown until recently. It consists of 184 nucleotides that fold into an extended hairpin structure with a large single-stranded internal bulge.
Source: RNAcentral